This 86-nucleotide transfer RNA is filed under the name Frondihabitans peucedani. RNAcentral's name for it is "tRNA-Ser". It matches the Rfam family "tRNA". From Rfam's summary of the family: Transfer RNA (tRNA) molecules are approximately 80 nucleotides in length. Their secondary structure includes four short double-helical elements and three loops (D, anti-codon, and T loops). Further hydrogen bonds mediate the characteristic L-shaped molecular structure. tRNAs have two regions of fundamental functional importance: the anti-codon, which is responsible for specific mRNA codon recognition, and the 3' end, to which the tRNAs corresponding amino acid is attached (by aminoacyl-tRNA synthetases). tRNAs cope with the degeneracy of the genetic code in two manners: having more than one tRNA (with a specific anti-codon) for a particular amino acid; and 'wobble' base-pairing, i.e. permitting non-standard base-pairing at the 3rd anti-codon position. The record is from RNAcentral. Lineage: Bacteria; Bacillati; Actinomycetota; Actinomycetes; Micrococcales; Microbacteriaceae. RNAcentral also lists the same sequence under 1 other name.
GGAGGGCUGUCCGAGCGGCCGAUGGAGCUUGUCUUGAAAACAAGUGAGGGUAAAACCUUCGUGGGUUCGAAUCCCACGCCCUCCGC